AUGGACCUGAGGUUUCUUUCAUAUCAUUAUUCCCCCUUGAAGGUUAUUGAUAUGGCAAGGUUGAAUCAUGAGAACAUAGCAAAGUUUCUGGACUAUUGCAGAGAGAGUGACCCAUUCUCGAGGAUGUUAGUCUUUGAGUACGCAUCAAAUGGGACCCCGUACGAGCACCUACACUAUGGGGAAGCGGCCCAAUUCUCUUGGCUCAGAUGA
RNAcentral lists this ribosomal RNA (210 nucleotides) under Triticum aestivum (bread wheat). Its description in RNAcentral is "partial small subunit ribosomal RNA". Lineage: Eukaryota; Viridiplantae; Streptophyta; Magnoliopsida; Poales; Poaceae. The record is from RNAcentral.